RNAcentral lists this ribosomal RNA (281 nucleotides) under uncultured prokaryote. RNAcentral's name for it is "partial 16S ribosomal RNA". It matches the Rfam family "Bacterial small subunit ribosomal RNA", at positions 524 to 803 of the family's 1533-position model. The record is from RNAcentral.
UACGUAGGGGCGAGCGUUGUCCGGAAUGACUGGGCGUAAAGGGCGUGUAGGCGGCCGAUUAAGUCCGGAGUGAAAGUCCUGCUUUCAAGGUGGGAAUUGCUUUGGAAACUGGUUGGCUUGAGUGCGGAAGAGGUAAGUGGAAUUCCCAGUGUAGCGGUGAAAUGCGUAGAGAUUGGGAGGAACACCAGUGGCGAAGGCGACUUACUGGGCCGUAACUGACGCUGAGGCGCGAAAGCGUGGGGAGCGAACAGGAUUAGAUACCCUGGUAGUCCCUGAGCGGG